CCUGUUUGAAUCCUGUAGACUCUGAAGACAGGAUGACAAAGGUCCUAUGUGGUGAGAUAGGGCUGGAGGGCCUGUAAAUGAGGGCAGGUGGAGGGAUGAAACUGAACGGUCAGAUCUCGGCUGGAGGUAAACAGAGGGGACGCGGAGGCGCCUUGAGAAGUUGCAGUUAUGAGGCAUCAUGGGAAGAGAAAAAAGCAACAGGAAGCCAGACCCAGAUUUUAUUCCGAGCUCAUCUUUGGGAAAAUCACUUCUCUGGUUUGGACAUCUCAUUCUGUCAUUCUUCCCAGUUAAUGUCCUAGUUCUUGCCUCCCCAAAAUCCUGUCACAAUCCUGACUAGAGCUCUGGUCUGCCGUGUAGGACAGGGAGUGAACUCUGCAGUCAGAUGAUCUGGGCCCAGAGCCCAGCUGGGCGACUGCGGCGGAGGCACUCGGUCCCCCCCCCCCCAUGCUCUGGUGUGGAGCAGGAAUGGACGCCCACUGUGGUAUUUCCUUAGGGUAGUGAGAGUAGGUGUCUCAGUGUGUCACAUGUGUUAGGACUGGAGAAAUGGCUGCUGUUAUCAUUUGAUUUAGAUUCACUUCUAUUCCUGGUGGGGGCUCCCCUGAGAGCCCCUGGGAUUGUGCGGGAAAUUUCUGU
Long non-coding RNA from Otolemur garnettii (small-eared galago), 633 nucleotides. RefSeq lists it as uncharacterized. The transcript has 2 exons. The record is from RefSeq and is a predicted model, not a curated record. NCBI's taxonomy places the organism in Eukaryota, Metazoa, Chordata, Mammalia, Primates, Galagidae.